UGGGAAAAGCUCAACUUUGUAAUCUGGCUGCUUUGCGGUCCGAGUUGUAGUCUCGAGAAGCAUUAUCCGCGCCGGACCUUGGCCAUGUCUGUUGGAAUACAGUGUCAAAGAGGGUGAGAAUCCCGUACAUACCAAGGACGCCCGUGUGCAUUGUGAUACGCUUUCAAA
Molecule: ribosomal RNA, 168 nt
Filed under: Sporobolomyces sp.
Lineage: Eukaryota; Fungi; Basidiomycota; Microbotryomycetes; Sporidiobolales; Sporidiobolaceae
Description: partial large subunit ribosomal RNA
Rfam family: Eukaryotic large subunit ribosomal RNA
Source: RNAcentral